UCGGCCUACGGGGGGCAGCAGUGGGGAAUAUUGCACAAUGGGGGGAACCCUGAUGCAGCGACGCCGCGUGGGUGAAGAAGUCAUUCGUGACGUAAAGCCCUAUCAGCAGGGAAGAAAAUGACGGUACCUGACUAAGAAGCCCCGGCUAACUACGUGCCAGCAGCCGCGGUAAUACGUAGGGGGCAAGCGUUAUCCGGAUUUACUGGGGGUAAAGGGAGCGUAGGUGGCAGGGCAAGUCAGAUGUGAAAACCCGGGGCUAAACCCCGGGAGUGCAUUUGAAACUGUCCAGCUGGAGUGCAGG
Molecule: ribosomal RNA, 301 nt
Filed under: uncultured bacterium
Lineage: Bacteria
Description: bacterial SSU rRNA
Rfam family: Bacterial small subunit ribosomal RNA
Source: RNAcentral